This is a long non-coding RNA of Eleginops maclovinus (Patagonian blennie), 277 nucleotides long. RefSeq lists it as uncharacterized. The transcript has 2 exons. Lineage: Eukaryota; Metazoa; Chordata; Actinopteri; Perciformes; Eleginopidae. The record is from RefSeq and is a predicted model, not a curated record.
ACUGAAAAGACUCCCUGGAUUUUCGUCCUUUUUUUUCAGUUAUCUUUCUAAUAUGGUGAAUCUGCCAAACUGAAUCCCACUCCACCUGCCAGCUAAGGGGCGGAGACUAUAAAUAGCCUGCUCACCCUUUAGUUCAUCCUUUGCACUCCCUGCCAGCACACCAAUUUAACCCUGUGUCCUGAGUUUCCUCCACAUAUCCUGAAGUGUGCGUCUUCAAGUUAACCACACAAAAUAAUCAAGACCAAAAGGGAAAAUAAAUACUGGUUCUUGCAUUAAA